GACGCUCGGCCGGAGGAGGAAGCGGCUGCUGGGAAUGGAGGAGUGCCCGGCUAAACUGGUCGUGUUACACAUUGUGGUGGUUGGCUUCCACCACAAGAAGGGCUGCCAGGUUGAAUUUUCAUAUCCACCGUUGGUUUCCGAAAAAGGACAUGAUGGUCACAGCUUACCUGAGGAAUGGAAAUACCUUCCAUUUCUUGCUUUGCCGGAUGGAGCACAUAACUACCAGGAGGAUACAAUUUACUUCCAUUUGCCUCCAAGGAGUGGGAAUGAAAAGACAGUUUAUGGUGUUUCCUGCUACCGCCAGAUCGAUGCCAAGAUCCUGAAGGUUCGUCAAGCAGAUGUCACAAGAGAAACCGUCCAAAAGAGUGUCUGUGUGCUCAGUAGGCUGCCACUCUAUGGGUUGCUCCAAGCCAAACUGGAGCUCAUCACACAUGCUUAUUUUGAGGAAAAAGAUUUUUCACAGAUUUCUAUCUUAAAGGAACUCUAUGAACACAUGAACAACUCUUUAGGAGGAAAUGCAUUAGAAGGAUCUCAGGCUUAUUUGAGUCUGUCUCCCCGUGACCUGGUUCUCCAUUUCAGGCAUAAGAUAAUAAUUCUCUUCAAAAUGAUUCUUUUAGAGAAAAGGGUUCUGUUUUACUUGUCACCGGUGAACCGUCUGGUUGGGACUCUGAUGACUGUACUGUCACUUUUUCCAGGAAUGAUAGAACAUGGUUUAGCAGAUUCAUCACAAUAUAAACCACGCAAGAGCACUUCCGAAGAUGUUUUCCAGGAACAUGGUCUAAAUACUGAAGAAUUUGUUUCCAUUUCAGUGUCAGAUGUUGCUGGAGUUACUUCAGAAUUUGGUUUAGAAGCAAAAUAUUCAGCAGGCGAUGAUGAGACAAAUGUUCCAGCAAAGGUGGUAACCUUUUCAGAUGUACAAAGGUCUGAACAAGGGGAUGAUAGACUGCAGCUGCAAUUACCACCUCCAGCACAUAUUUCACCUAACUCAUCUGAAAGUGAUUGGGAAACUUUGGACACAAGUGUUCUUGACGCAGACAAUGGGACAAAGGAAGAGAGACUGAAUGAUAAGACCAACCAAAAAGAGGUUUUUAUCUCAGAUUCUAUAGUUUCGCAGUUUUUACCAAUCACUGUGCAACCACAAGCAAAUACAGUUGAGACUGUGACAGCACCAGGUCUAAUAUCUGGUCUCAAGGAAGACCAGUAUGGAAUGCCCUUAGCUGUCUUUACAAAGGGUUAUCUUUGUUUACCAUAUAUGGCCUUGCAGCAGCAUCACCUUCUCUCUGAUGUCUCCGUGCGUGGAUUUGUUGCUGGGGCAACAAAUAUCCUUUUCCGACAGCAGAAACACUUGACUGAUGCGGUUAUUGAUAUUGAGGAAUCUGCCAUACAAAUACAUGAUUCAGAAUUACGCAAAGUAUUAAACCUCACCACAGCAGACUUGCGUUUCGCAGACUUUCUGGUGAAGCAUGUAACUGAAAAUAGGGAUGAUGUGUUUCUCGAUGGGACUGGUUGGGAAGGAGGAGAUGAGUGGAUCCGGGCGCAGUUUUCACUCUAUAUUCAUUCCCUUCUUGCCACAACUUUGCAGCCAGAUAAUGAAAGAAUGUUGGCAGACUAUGGCCUCCCGUUUGUUGCUGCCUGGAGGAAUACACACAACUUCAGAGUGUGGCACAGCAACAAGUACCCUGCUAUAACUCAAGUUCAUCCUGGCCAUCCAUUUCAGGGGCAGUACAAUGUAUCAGAUGUCAAAUUAAGAUUGUCACAGGACAAUAACGGACCAGUGAUGAAGGCAUUGACACCUGAGGAGGACACAGCACUGAAACUGAACACACACGAGUUCUGUGCAGAACAGUGAACGCGGGAAGAAGCUGGGAAAUGCAGUGAUUUCCACAAGUCGCAGUGUGAUGCAGACAGGAAAAGCAGUCGGUCAAUCUGUAGGAGGGGCACUCACAAGUGCCAAGUCUGCCAUGAGCUCUUGGUUUUCCACAUUCAACCAACAAUCUGCUGGACCCUUCUCUGAGAAGCAAACAGGGAAACACUGAGCACAUCAGGUGCAAGGAUGACUGCAUGUAUUGCACAUUCCAAUAUUAUUCUGCAGGGAGUUGGAACCCAUUAAUAACCAGGACUUUUACUGAUAAAUCGCAAUGUAUGUUCCCCUUUUCCAGUGCAGGUAACGGAUCAGAUGAAUUUUGCAUAUAGCUUCAGUUUGAGACCAAUGGUGUUUCCAUUAUUAGAUACUUGUUGGUUUAUGUAGUAUGUGUACUUUAGCCAACCUUCACUGAGUUGUAUUCCUUAUUUUACAUCAACACAGCAGAGGCUGGAGAUAAAUAAUAAUGUUCGCCUGUUUGGGAUUAACUGUUAAAGUGGUCAAAUAUAUUUUUCUUUCAUGUUUUUAAAAAAUUUUCCUUGAAUCAUAAGGAUGCUCUAGUAAACAUAAUCACUACCGUAAUUAAACCCAUUUCUGUUCUUAUUGAUUCUACCAAAGAGAUGCUGUGGAGUUUCCGUGUAGGACGGGGGUUCUUGGCAUAAAAAAGGUUGGGAAUCCCUGGAGUACAAUCUAUAGAGUAGCUGGGAUGUAAAUUUUUAAUCUGUUCAAUUUUAAGCAAUUCAGAUAUUGCAGAGCUUGUCUACGGAACAACCCUGCUUCUGAUUUAAAUUGCAUUUAAAUAAAAAGAAACUGUUCUGGGUCCAAUAGCUCCAUCUUUCAUCCAAGUAGUUAGUUUUAAAUACUGAACUGCAAUUUAUCAUGAAAAUUAACACUUAAUAUUUAUGCUUGUAAUGACUCUUGAUUUCAAACUAUCAAAUAUGUAACAUCUUAUAGUAAUUCAUUUAUAAAGAAUACAUUUUAAAAUGUACUCAAAAAUGAAAUACACUUGUAAAUAUGAUUACCCGGGUAAACUGCUAAAUUAACUUUUUCGUUGCUGAAAUUAAAAGUUUCAUUUUAUCUGAUCCAGAAAACUGAUACUGCUUUUAAUGCAGCCUUUCAAUUAGCACAUCCUUAAAGCAAAGUAUUCUAGAAGAAUGGAGCAUACAAGUGAAUUUAGAAUAAAUUUUACAUCUCAAGCCAUUUCUGCAUUGUUUUCUUUUGAAAGAAGUAGAAAUGAAUGUAUUUUUGUUUUGCAAUAUAGUGCAGUUCUGUUCAUUGGAUUAAAAUCUCUUUGGAAGCAGCUAAAGCCAAUUACAAAAUCUAACAACACACAUAAAAAUUGCUGGUGAAUGCAGCAGGUCAAGACCCUUGUCAAGAUAACUGGAAGAAGAGAUAGUACGAGACUUGAAAGUGGUAGGGGAAGGGGGAGAUCCAAAAUGUUA
Molecule: RNA transcript, 3303 nt
Organism: Mobula hypostoma (lesser devil ray)
Lineage: Eukaryota; Metazoa; Chordata; Chondrichthyes; Myliobatiformes; Myliobatidae
Gene: avl9
Gene name: AVL9 homolog (S. cerevisiase)
Exons: 17
Source: RefSeq, a predicted model, not a curated record